CCCCACUGCUAUCGGGAUAGGACUAAGACAUGCUAGUCGAGUGAUUCAGGCAAAACGAGUCACGGCGCACAGCUCAGUAACACGUGGCUAAUCUGCCCUUAGGACGAGAACAACCCCGGGAAACUGGGGCUAAUUCGCGAUAGGCGAAGAACUCUGGAAUGAGUCUUUACCUAAAAAGUGCAACGUUAUCCUCGUUGCACCGCCUAAGGAUGAGGCCGCGACCGAUCAGGUUGUUGGCGAGGUAAUGGCUCACCAAGCCUUUUACCGGUGCGGGCCGUGGGAGCGGGAGCCCGGAGAUGGGCACUGAGACAAGGGCCCAGGCCCUACGGGGCGCAGCAGUCGCGAAAACUUUGCAAUAAGCGAAAGCUUGACAGGGCUAUCCCGAGUGCCAUCCGCUGAGGAAGGCUUUUACCCAGUCUAGAACGCUGGGGGGAUAAGGAGAGGGCAAGUCUGGUGUCAGCCGCCGCGGUAAUACCAGCUCUUCGAGUGGUGUGGAUGUUUAUUGGGCCUAAAGCAUCCGUAGCUGGCUAAGUUAGUCCCUUGUUAAAUCCACCGAAUUAAUCGUUGGAUUGCGGGGGAUACUGCUUGGCUAGGGGACGAGAGAGGCAGACGGUAUUUUCGGGGUAGGGGUGAAAUCCUAUAAUCCCGGGAAGACCACCAGUGGCGAAGGCUGUCUGCUAGAACGCGCCCGACGGUGAGGGAUGAAAGCUGGGGGAGCGAACCGGAUUAGAUACCCGGGUAGUCCCAGCUGUAAACGAUGCAGACUAGGUGUUUGAACGGCCACGUGCCGUUCUAGUGCCGCAGGGAAGCUGUUAAGUCUGCCGCCUGGGGAGUACGAUCGCAAGAUUGAAACUUAAAGGAAUUGGCGGGGGAGCACCACAAGGGGUGAAGCUUGCGGUUU
RNAcentral lists this ribosomal RNA (901 nucleotides) under uncultured archaeon. RNAcentral describes it as "bacterial SSU rRNA". It matches the Rfam family "Archaeal small subunit ribosomal RNA", at positions 21 to 903 of the family's 1478-position model. The record is from RNAcentral.